Molecule: ribosomal RNA, 231 nt
Filed under: uncultured Staphylococcus sp.
Lineage: Bacteria; Bacillati; Bacillota; Bacilli; Caryophanales; Staphylococcaceae
Description: partial 16S ribosomal RNA
Rfam family: Bacterial small subunit ribosomal RNA
Source: RNAcentral
AGUAACACGUGGAUAACCUACCUAUAAGACUGGGAUAACUUCGGGAAACCAGAGCUAAUACCGGAUAAUAUUUUGAACCGCAUGGUUCAAAAGUGAAAGACGGUCUUGCUGUCACUUAUAGAUGGAUCCGCGCUGCAUUAGCUAGUUGGUAAGGUAACGGCUUACCAAGGCAACGAUGCAUAGCCGACCUGAGAGGGUGAUCGGCCACACUGGAACAGAGACACGGUCCAG